UAAACUAUAGCAAAAGAAUAUAAAAUAAAGCCAAACAUUGAAUAACCAUGAGAUAAAUGUUUUGUAUGAUUAUAUUGUAGCCCUUCCAAUGAGUCGAUUGUUGUUGUUUUAUGAUCUUGUGGUUGUAGUAUGGGUAUUGAGAAACAUUAGAUAACAUGGGUAUUGAGAAACAUUAAAUAACAUGUAUGUUGCUAUUAUGAUCGUAGAUAUAUGAAUAAUUUUAUUGUCAUUUUGUAUCCGGGG
This 243-nucleotide long non-coding RNA is filed under the name Elaeis guineensis (African oil palm). Its description in RNAcentral is "long non-coding RNA (EGUI_LNC002065)". The record is from RNAcentral. Lineage: Eukaryota; Viridiplantae; Streptophyta; Magnoliopsida; Arecales; Arecaceae.